GACGAACGCUGGCGGCGUGCUUAACACAUGCAAGUCGAACGGAAAGGCCCUGCUUUUGUGGGGUGCUCGAGGGGCGAACGGGUGAGUAACACGGGAGUAACCUGCCCUUGACUUUGGGAUAACUUCAGGAAACUGGGGCGAAUACCGGAUAUGAGCUCCUGCUGCAUGGGGGGGGUUGGAUAGUUUCGGCGGUUGGGGAUGGACUCGCGGCUUAUCAGCUUGUUGGUGGGGUAGUGGCUUACCCAGGCUUUGACGGGUAGCCGGCCUGAGAGGGUGACCGGCCACCUUGGGCCUGAGGUACGGCGCCGACUCCUACGUGACGCAGCAGUGGGGAGUAUUGCACAAUGGGCCGACGCCUGAUGCAGCAACCCCGCGUGCGUGAUGUCGGCCUUCGGGUUGUGAACCGCUUUCGCCUGUGACGAAGCGUGAGUGACGGUACUGGGUAAAGAAGCACCGGCUAACUACGUG
This 468-nucleotide ribosomal RNA is filed under the name uncultured bacterium. Its description in RNAcentral is "partial 16S ribosomal RNA". It matches the Rfam family "Bacterial small subunit ribosomal RNA", at positions 28 to 507 of the family's 1533-position model. The record is from RNAcentral.